AAAGAGCGAUGGCAAAGACUGAUUGACAGGACUUCAGACAGUGACAGCUGCAGCAGGAAAGGCUAACUUGAACAGGUAGAAGUUACUCUGCUACAGGAGGGAUCUUGCGAGACUGACAGCACGACGAGAAAUAUGGGGGAUAAUUCAUAACUCCUGGGGGGGAGUGUUUGUUUGUUUGUUUGUUUGUUUGUUUGUUUGUUUGUUUGUUUGUUUGUUUGUUUGUUUGUUUCAGGGAUCACGUGGGCCUCUGGAUCAUAGGAGUAGAUGCCGAGAACGCUCGGAGGUUCUACUGAGCACUUCGAUGAGACGACGACCACCAAUCGUCCCCGUGCCCCAAUCAACCCCAAAAGAGAAGAUUUUGUUUGCUGACGACUGGUUAUGGAGAUGUCGUUUACAAGGGAACCCGUGGACGCUGACCGGGGCCUGGAAAGAGACUCUGAGGACGGUGAAGUGGACAUAAAGAUUUUGGAUGGACGGCAGGCCCUGGGCAGUGAUCCCGGCGCAAUUCACUACUGAGCAUUCAGUGGACUGGACUUUGCAUCGACAG
Syngnathus acus (greater pipefish) is the source of this 547-nucleotide long non-coding RNA. RefSeq lists it as uncharacterized. The transcript has 2 exons. The record is from RefSeq and is a predicted model, not a curated record. Lineage: Eukaryota; Metazoa; Chordata; Actinopteri; Syngnathiformes; Syngnathidae.